Molecule: ribosomal RNA, 468 nt
Filed under: uncultured bacterium
Lineage: Bacteria
Description: partial 16S ribosomal RNA
Rfam family: Bacterial small subunit ribosomal RNA
Source: RNAcentral
GACGAACGCUGGCGGCGUGCUUAACACAUGCAAGUCGAACGGAAAGGCCCUGCUUUUGUGGGGUGCUCGAGUGGCGAACGGGUGAGUAACACGCGUGUAACCCGCCCUUGUCUUUGGGAUAACUUCUGGAAACUGGGGCUAAUAUCGGAUAGGAGCUCCUGCUGCAUGGUGGGGGAUGGAAAGUUUCGGCGGUUGGGGAUGGACUCGCGGCUUAUCAGCUUGUUGGUGGGGUAGUGGCUUACCAAGGCUUUGACGGGUAGCCGGCCUGAGAGGGUGACCGGCCACAUUGGGACUGAGAUACGGCCCAGACUCCUACGGGAGGCAGCAGUGGGGAAUAUUGCACAAUGGGCGGAAGCCUGAUGCAGCAGCGCCGCGUGCGGGAUGACGGCCUUCGGGUUGUAAACCGCUUUCGCCUGUGACGAAGCGUGAGUGACGGUAAUGGGUAAAGAAGCACCGGCUAACUACGUG